CGGUGGAGCAUGUGGUUUAAUUCGAAGCAACGCGAAGAACCUUACCAGGUCUUGACAUCCUUUGACCACUCUAGAGAUAGAGCUUUCCCUUCGGGGACAAAGUGACAGGUGGUGCAUGGUUGUCGUCAGCUCGUGUCGUGAGAUGUUGGGUUAAGUCCCGCAACGAGCGCAACCCUUAUUGUUAGUUGCCAUCAUUAAGUUGGGCACUCUAGCGAGACUGCCGGUGACAAACCGGAGGAAGGUGGGGAUGACGUCAAAUCAUCAUGCCCCUUAUGACCUGGGCUACACACGUGCUACAAUGGACAGUACAAUGAGCAGCGACACGGCGACGUGAAGCGAAUCUCAUAAAGCUGUUCUCAGUUCGGAUUGUAGGCUGCAACUCGCCUACAUGAAGCCGGAAUCGCUAGUAAUCGCGGAUCAGCACGCCACGGUGAAUACGUUCCCGGGCCUUGUACACACCGCCCGUCACACCACGAAAGUUUGUAACACCCGAAGUCGGUGAGGUAACCGCAAGGAGCCAACCGCCUAAGGUGGGAUAGAUGAUUGGGGUGAAGUCGUAACAAGGUAACCAAGGGCGAAUUCCAG
RNAcentral lists this ribosomal RNA (585 nucleotides) under uncultured Vagococcus sp. RNAcentral's name for it is "bacterial SSU rRNA". It matches the Rfam family "Bacterial small subunit ribosomal RNA", at positions 930 to 1516 of the family's 1533-position model. The record is from RNAcentral. Lineage: Bacteria; Bacillati; Bacillota; Bacilli; Lactobacillales; Enterococcaceae.